RNAcentral lists this ribosomal RNA (556 nucleotides) under uncultured Gammaproteobacteria bacterium. RNAcentral's name for it is "bacterial SSU rRNA". It matches the Rfam family "Bacterial small subunit ribosomal RNA", at positions 28 to 573 of the family's 1533-position model. The record is from RNAcentral. Lineage: Bacteria; Pseudomonadati; Pseudomonadota; Gammaproteobacteria.
AAUGACGCUGGCGGCAGGCCUACACACUAAAGUCCGAGCGCGAAAGGCCCUUCGGGCUGAGUAGAGCGGCGGACGGGUGAGUAACACGUGGGAAUCUACCUGGUAGUGGGGGAUAACUUGGGGAAACUCAAGCUAAUACCGCAUACGCCCUACGGGGGAAAGGAGGGGAUCAUUAGACCUUUCGCUAUUGGAUGAGCCCGCGUCGGAUUAGCUGGUUGGUGGGGUAAAGGCCUACCAAGGCGACGAUCCGUAGCUGGUCUGAGAGGAUGAUCAGCCACACUGGGACUGAGACACGGCCCAGACUCCUACGGGAGGCAGCAGUGGGGAAUAUUGCACAAUGGGCGCAAGCCUGAUGCAGCCAUGCCGCGUAGUGUGAAGAAGGCUCUAGGGUUGUAAAGCACUUUCAGUGGGGAGGAAAGGUUGAUGGUUAAUACCCGUUAAACUGUGACGUUACCCACAGAAGAAGCACCGGCAAACUCCGUGCCCAGACAGCCGCAGGUAAUACAGGAGGGUGCUGAAGCGUUAACUCGGAAUUACUGGGCGUAAGGCGCGCGUA